This 465-nucleotide ribosomal RNA is filed under the name uncultured bacterium. Its description in RNAcentral is "partial 16S ribosomal RNA". It matches the Rfam family "Bacterial small subunit ribosomal RNA", at positions 339 to 795 of the family's 1533-position model. The record is from RNAcentral.
CUACGGGACGCAGCAGUGGGGAAUAUUGGACAAUGGGGGAAACCCUGAUCCAGCAAUGCCGCGUGUGUGAAGAAGGCCUGCGGGUUGUAAAGCACUUUCGGUUGGGAGGACUGCUUCUAGCACUAAUAUUGUUGGAAGUUGACGUUACCUUCAGAAGAAGCACCGGCUAACUCCGUGCCAGCAGCCGCGGUAAUACGGAGGGUGCAAGCGGUAAUCGGAAUUACUGGGCGUAAAGCGCGCGUAGGCGGCUAGAUCAGUCGGGUGUGAAAGCCCCGGGCUUAACCUGGGAACUGCAUCCGAUACUGUCUAGCUUGAGUACAGGAGAGGAGAGUGGAAUUCCAGAUGUAGCGGUGAAAUGCGUAGAUAUGUGGAGGAACACCAAUGGCGAAGGCAGCUCUCUGGCCUGAUACUGACGCUGAGGUGCGAAAGCGUGGGGAGCAAACAGGAUUAGAUACCCGAGUAGUC